UACAGGGGGGGCAAGCGUUGUUCGGAAUUACUGGGCGUAAAGGGUCUGUAGGCGGCCAACUAAGUCCGACGUGAAAUCCCUCAGCUUAACUGGGGAACUGCGUCUGAUACUGGAUGGCUCGAGUGUGGGAGAGGAAUGCGGAAUUCCAGGUGUAGCGGUGAAAUGCGUAGAUAUCUGGAGGAACACCGGUGGCGAAGGCGGCAUUCUGGACCAUAACUGACACUGAGACGCGAAAGCGUGGGGAGCGAACAGG
Molecule: ribosomal RNA, 253 nt
Filed under: uncultured bacterium
Lineage: Bacteria
Description: partial 16S ribosomal RNA
Rfam family: Bacterial small subunit ribosomal RNA
Source: RNAcentral